GGGACGAGAAGACCCUAUAGAGUUUUAUAUAAAUUUAAUUAAAAAUUAUUUAUAAAUUAAAUAAAUUUAAAGUUAUUAUUUAUAUUUUGUUGGGGUGAUAAAAAAAUAAAAUUAACUUUUUUUAAUAUUAAACAUAUAUAAGUGAUUAAAUGAUCCAUUUUUAUUGAUUACAAGAAAAAA
Molecule: ribosomal RNA, 180 nt
Filed under: Scoliopteryx libatrix
Lineage: Eukaryota; Metazoa; Arthropoda; Insecta; Lepidoptera; Erebidae
Description: partial large subunit ribosomal RNA
Source: RNAcentral